RNAcentral lists this non-coding RNA (336 nucleotides) under Euplotes harpa. Lineage: Eukaryota; Ciliophora; Spirotrichea; Euplotida; Euplotidae. The record is from RNAcentral.
AUCUCGAUUUGAUUAUUGUUCUUUUUAAAGUUUCUUACUCAUUCAAUGACAGUUUUCAGCCAAACAGUGAACGGAUACAAAAGUCUUGAGAGUCUUUUUAACAUCUGAACGUCAAGCAGCGACUCAUCUACCUUUUUGACUAUUGCUUUAAAAUGCGAUUCAGAGAUGGACUUCGGGUCGAAAUCAACAACCGAACUGAUCAUUUCUCGUUUUUUAUAGUCCCGGAGGCAGUCUCUCCAGGUCGGGUUCAUGCUCCCUAUAACACUACGAGGACCCCGCAGAAGACAUUGGUGACUUCAGGUUUCGGAGCCUUUCCGAAGUCUCACAUUUCGUAAA